CAAUUUAAACAACGAAGAGUUUGAUCCUGGCUCAGGAUGAACGCUAGCGACAGGCUUAACACAUGCAAGUCGAGGGGCAGCACAGGUAGCAAUACCGGGUGGCGACCGGCGCACGGGUGAGUAACGCGUAUGCAACUUACCUAUCAGAGGGGGAUAACCCGGCGAAAGUCGGACUAAUACCGCAUGAAGCAGGGGCCCCGCAUGGGGAUAUUUGCUAAAGAUUCAUCGCUGAUAGAUAGGCAUGCGUUCCAUUAGGCAGUUGGCGGGGUAACGGCCCACCAAACCGACGAUGGAUAGGGGUUCUGAGAGGAAGGUCCCCCACAUUGGUACUGAGACACGGACCAAACUCCUACGGGAGGCAGCAGUGAGGAAUAUUGGUCAAUGGGCGUAAGCCUGAACCAGCCAAGUCGCGUGAGGGAUGAAGGUUCUAUGGAUCGUAAACCUCUUUUAUAAGGGAAUAAAGUGCGGGACGUGUCCCGUUUUGUAUGUACCUUAUGAAUAAGGAUCGGCUAACUCCGUGCCAGCAGCCGCGGUAAUACGGAGGAUCCGAGCGUUAUCCGGAUUUAUUGGGUUUAAAGGGUGCGUAGGCGGCCUUUAAAGUCAGCGGUGAAAGUCUGUGGCUCAACCAUAGAAUUGCCGUUGAAACUGGGGGGCUUGAGUAUGUUUGAGGCAGGCGGAAUGCGUGGUGUAGCGGUGAAAUGCUUAGAUAUCACGCAGAACCCCGAUUGCGAAGGCAGCCUGCCAAGCCAUGACUGACGCUGAUGCACGAAAGCGUGGGGAUCAAACAGGAUUAGAUACCCUGGUAGUCCACGCAGUAAACGAUGAUCACUAGCUGUUUGCGAUACAGUGUAAGCGGCACAGCGAAAGCGUUAAGUGAUCCACCUGGGGAGUACGCCGGCAACGGUGAAACUCAAAGGAAUUGACGGGGGCCCGCACAAGCGGAGGAACAUGUGGUUUAAUUCGAUGAUACGCGAGGAACCUUACCCGGGUUUGAACGCAUUCGGACCGAGGUGGAAACACCUCUUCUAGCAAUAGCCGUUUGCGAGGUGCUGCAUGGUUGUCGUCAGCUCGUGCCGUGAGGUGUCGGCUUAAGUGCCAUAACGAGCGCAACCCUUGCCACUAGUUACUAACAGGUGAUGCUGAGGACUCUGGUGGGACUGCCAGCGUAAGCUGCGAGGAAGGCGGGGAUGACGUCAAAUCAGCACGGCCCUUACAUCCGGGGCGACACACGUGUUACAAUGGCGUGGACAAAGGGAAGCCACCUGGCGACAGGGAGCGAAUCCCCAAACCACGUCUCAGUUCGGAUCGGAGUCUGCAACCCGACUCCGUGAAGCUGGAUUCGCUAGUAAUCGCGCAUCAGCCAUGGCGCGGUGAAUACGUUCCCGGGCCUUGUACACACCGCCCGUCAAGCCAUGGGAGCCGGGGGUACCUGAAGUCCGUAACCGCGAGGAUCGGCCUAGGGUAAAACUGGUGACUGGGGCUAAGUCGUAACAAGGUAGCCGUACCGGAAGGUGCGGCUGGAACACCUCCUUUCU
Molecule: ribosomal RNA, 1535 nt
Filed under: Turicibacter sanguinis
Lineage: Bacteria; Bacillati; Bacillota; Erysipelotrichia; Erysipelotrichales; Turicibacteraceae
Description: bacterial SSU rRNA
Rfam family: Bacterial small subunit ribosomal RNA
Source: RNAcentral